CGCCUUAUACUCCUACGGGAGGCAGCAGUGGGGAAUUUUGGACAAUGGGCGAAAGCCUGAUCCAGCAAUGCCGCGUGCAGGAUGAAGGCCUUCGGGUUGUAAACUGCUUUUGUACGGAACGAAAAAGCUCCUUCUAAUACAGUGGGCCCAUGACGGUACCGUAAGAAUAAGCACCGGCUAACUACGUGCCAGCAGCCGCGGUAAUACGUAGGGUGCGAGCGUUAAUCGGAAUUACUGGGCGUAAAGCGUGCGCAGGCGGUUAUGUAAGACAGAUGUGAAAUCCCCGGGCUCAACCUGGGAACUGCAUUUGUGACUGCAUGGCUAGAGUACGGUAGAGGGGGAUGGAAUUCCGCGUGUAGCAGUGAAAUGCGUAGAUAUGCGGAGGAACACCGAUGGCGAAGGCUAUCCCCUGGACCUGUACUGACGCUCAUGCACGAAAGCGUGGGGAGCAAACAGGAUUAGAUACCCUUGUAGUCCACGUACCA
RNAcentral lists this ribosomal RNA (485 nucleotides) under uncultured bacterium. RNAcentral's name for it is "bacterial SSU rRNA". It matches the Rfam family "Bacterial small subunit ribosomal RNA", at positions 327 to 804 of the family's 1533-position model. The record is from RNAcentral.